Molecule: ribosomal RNA, 645 nt
Filed under: Triticum aestivum (bread wheat)
Lineage: Eukaryota; Viridiplantae; Streptophyta; Magnoliopsida; Poales; Poaceae
Description: partial small subunit ribosomal RNA
Source: RNAcentral
AUGGAGAAGCACUUACCCAGACCGUCUGAGGGGCCAGAUGAUAAGUGCAUGGAGGCGAGAUUGGAGGAUGGUGGCGUGAUGGGGCCAGACGCGUCGGUGGACCUGACGGGGGACGAGCAAUGUGCAUCUCAGGGGAAGGAGCUCAGUUUUGGGCCGCAUUCGCCAAGGAGCAGCCCAGGAGGCAUGGGCCAGGCCUGGGGCGUGUCAACUCUCGAGGCCCAGUGCGGGGAAGCGGGGGCUGCUAGGAGCGAGGAGGGCCAGGAUGCGCCAGAUCCACUCCAGGCCUUCCUCAUCUCCUGCUCCUCCCCCACACCCGCUGCUCUGCUUCCAGCCCCGGCGGCCAGCGGCGACCUGGUGGCCGAGCCGGCCGGUGCGCUGGCUAAAAGGAGCAGUGGCCGCCUUGCCGCAAAGCCUACGGCGGGCCUAUCCACGAUGGAUAAGGUCGGGAUGGUGCUGCUGAAGAAAAGCGAGAUUUGGGACGGUGCGGGGCCGUCCGUCGCCGCAUCAGCUGAGGACAUGCAGAGGUACAGAGAUAUCUACAAGAAGCCGCUGCCGGACAGCUUCAUCUCGGCGGUGGAGGAGCUGAUUGGGGUCAACGGACAACACAUGUGCUCCGACAGGCUGGGUCGGGCUGCUUGUGCCUGA